Molecule: RNA transcript, 1951 nt
Organism: Cyprinus carpio (common carp)
Lineage: Eukaryota; Metazoa; Chordata; Actinopteri; Cypriniformes; Cyprinidae
Source: RefSeq, a predicted model, not a curated record
CACCCGAGAGUGAUGGUGUAUGCUGAAAGAACGGGGGCGGAGCUUACAGACAUGCGGGUGGGUCUCAAUUUAUUAUUCAUCUUUGUCACUUCCUCUGUGCAGAGUGCUGACGUAGUUCUGGAUCAGAAGGACAGCAGCCUGUACGUCGGGAGAGUGAGAGAUACUCGCCAAAUACCUGAGAAGCCACGCCCAUCACCACCUCAUUAAUAAACUCCCAGGUGAGCUGUGUUUACCUCUCGCUCUCGUCCCACGUGUCCUCUGGGAUUGUGGGCAGCUCGGGGAUGCUGCGGUAGAUGCUGUGUAGGUUCUGUGCCGUCCUACGCGAGACGAUCCACACCAGUUUCUUGUGGUCAGGUUUGGCACAUUCUGGAGAGGAGUAUUCCCUCAUACACUGGCCUACCAGGCCUCGCCAGUGCACCAGGUCAGCCUUCGAGAUCUGCAAACAGACACUGCUGCAUUAGACUCCUGCUUACACAAGGACAGGGCACAGAGCCAGCUACCUUUCGAUUGGGACCAACAUGUGUAAACCAAUGGCCUGUUGGCGACAGAACUGGGUUAAGUGCUCUGGAUUUAUCCUACACCACAGAUGUUUAAGUGCGGCUGAAACUAAAGGUAUAUUUUUGAUUUGUUUUGGUGAAAAAUUUUCUGAUUAAACUAAACUAGUUCUGCUUGACUUUGAACCAAACAGAGCAGUCUGUGACAUUCAACUGGAUUUCUUCACUUUUAAAAGGUUUUUAUUGAUGUUCAGGGCGUGUAAAAAUGUCGAUCUCCUCAUAAAUUCUUACCUUCAGGUGUGUUUGUAUGCGCUGGGCGAUUUCUAGCAGGUCCACAGACUGUAAGGCCUCAAUCUCAAGCAUCAAGAGUGACAAAGCGAGCACCGAAGGCUUAAAAAAAAAAAGAGAGAGAGAGAGAUGAUUAAUCAUAAUUCAAAUUUCCAUUUACCUUGCUUCAUGAAUCUAAGGUGUUCUUACUUUUGCUUUGGAGAAAACAAUUCUGCAUAGGCAGGCUUUCAGCUGGGCUUCCAGUUUGUCAAGAUUGAGGACGUCUUUUCUGAAAAGAUGAUGAUUUAAUGCAUUAGUGAGAUUUUAAUAGCCAAACUGUUUGUCAUUGAACAAGCGAUUGCGUCUAGUCUAAAGAUAAUCUGCUAUUUUCUGACUGCCAUCACUCCCAUAUACAGCAGAAUGCUCAAAGUCCACUUGCAAGCUCUGUUUAUCAACCUUUACAAGUCAAAGUUUCACAUGCCAAGCCUGCAUGUUAAAGUCUGUGGCUCUGAAGUGUGUUAAUGCCACUUGUUCUUACCUGUUCGACGUGUGCGAAAGUGCAAUGGCGUGGUACAAAUGCAGGAAGGUUAAGGCUGUGACAGCUUUUAACUGGAAGUUGAGUUUCUCCAGAAUGAUCUUCUCCAUUCGGCUGAGGUCUGAGACGGUGAACUUGCACUGGCUGAUGCGAAUCAGCUCAUGGCUGGACGAAACCUUGCACUCUUCUUUGGUCACUCGGGCGGCGAUGUGAAGGCAACUGAUGCUGAUGCAGGCCAGAUACCUGGGCUGAACCUUUAGGAACACACAAGUGAUCAGUUAUAACAUGUUCUAACACCUGUUAAUCAGAUGAAUUGACUUAUAACUAAUUGAUUACCUUCAUCAUCGCUAUAAACCUGUCCAGAAGGUUAACAGCUAAUACAAAGGUCUGAGUGCUGUAACCGAAGAAACUGGUCAAGCUCCAGAGAUCUUCCACUCGAGCAUCUCGACAUUUGGCGGAAACUCCAUUACCAUUCUGUGUGGAUGAGGAGAAAUAAGUUACAUUUAACGUUUAAAACUGAGACACAUUUUGCCUUCUAGUCCCAAAUAUUGUUUUGUACAUUGUAAAAAGUAUUUUUUUUACAGUAUAGAAAUACAGUGCAACAUUCCAGAACUGUUGAAAAUGUUAUCAAAUAAAGUUUGUAUAUGUAUUUUCA